Molecule: ribosomal RNA, 503 nt
Filed under: uncultured bacterium
Lineage: Bacteria
Description: bacterial SSU rRNA
Rfam family: Bacterial small subunit ribosomal RNA
Source: RNAcentral
GACGAACGCUGGCGGCGUGGAUUAGGCAUGCAAGUCGAACGGUAUCAUCCUUUCGGGGGUGAGAGAGUGGCGAACUGGUGAGUAACACGUAGGUUAUCUACCCUCAAGACGGGGACAACCCAGGGAAACUUGGGCUAAUACCGGAUGUGAGCAACUUUUUAGUUGUUUGAAAGGUGGCGUAAGCUGUCGCUUGGGGAUGAGCCUGCGUCCUAUUAGUUAGUUGGUGAGGUAACGGCUCACCUAGGCAAUGAUAGGUAGGCGGCCUUAACGGGUGGUCGCCCACACUGGGAUUGAGAUACGGCCCAGACUCCUACGGGAGGCAGCAGUCGAGAAUAGUCUACAAUGGUCGGAAGACUGAUAGUGCGACGCCGCGUGAACGAUGAAUCCCUUCGGGGUGUAAAGUUCUUUUAUAUGUGAGCAGUGCUUCUUAUAUUAACAGUAUGGGGAAGAGAUAUUAGCAUAUGAAUAAGCAACGGCUAACUCCGUGCCAGCAGCCGCGGUAA